AAGAAAACCAGCAAAGACUGAAGCGCGGAAGAAGGAACUACCAUGAGCGCGCAGCACCGAGGAUGGGUACGCCCAUCUGUGAAGGCUUGGGAGCAACACUGUCUAACCGGUCGCUGGAACUGGGGGCAAUUUGAAGUCACCAAUUCACCUGAAAUGCAUGUCUUUGGACUAUGGGAGGAAACUGGAAUACACAGAAAAAACCCACAGAAACAUGAGGAAACAUGCCAACUCCACAUAGACUGAGCAGGGAUUAAACCCAAUUCUCUUGUACCACCAAGGUGCUGUGAGGUGGCAGCGCUACUUACUGGACCAACAUGGGUUUAAAACAAGAAACCAGAGAAGAAACAAAAGCCAAAAUAAGAACAGAACAGAAAAAAAUGGUUCUUUCAAGUAUUUGAAUGAUCCAAUCUCAGUCCUUCAGAUAGCCAGGAACACAUUGGCAGACAGCAGGUCAUCAAACUGGGGGGUCUUCCCUUCGUGUAGACACCCCAGUUGGGUUCCUUAAAAGCUCUGGUGGUCUCAGAAUUCACGUCUUCUCUGCCUGAUUUUAGCUGGCAGAUUGGGAUAAAAUCACAGAAAAGAAUCUUUAAAGAAUGAAGAAGAAACAGGAAAGAAUCUUCACUGCAGCUUUUUUGAUGUUUUCUUUGUCAGAUAGACCUAAGAAUCAUACUAGAAUACUCCUUGGAUGGGCAGGGAGCAUGGCAAAGGAGUGGGUAGACAAAAUGUAUCUCAACAGCAGAUGAAUCAGCCAGCAGUCUCACCCAGGAAUGCAGUUCAUCUUGAAAAUAUUGCUUAAGAAAAAUUUCCUGUUUAGCAUUCUCAGGCAGGCCACAAUUGUCAAAUAUUACAGUUUUAUACAUUUAUUUAUUUAGCAGACACUUUUCUCCAAAGCAACUUCCAAUGCACUCGAUGUAGUAUUAUCAGCCCACACACAUUAUUCACUAAGGUGACUUACACUGCUAGAUACACUACUUACAAUGGGUCACUCAUCCAUACAUCAGUGGAACACACUUUCUCUGUCACUCACACUAUGGGUCACCAAUCCACUUGAACAACAUGUCUUUGGACCGUGGGAGGAAACCCACGCCGACAUGGGGAGAACAUGCAAACUCCGCACAGACUGAGCGGGGAUCAAACCCAUGUCCUCUCGCAUCACCCAGGGGCUGUAAGAUGCCAACACCACUCACUGUGCCACCAUGUCACCCAUAAUGCAAUACUUUGUUUAGUUUGGUCCAACUCAGCU
Molecule: long non-coding RNA, 1243 nt
Filed under: Scleropages formosus (Asian bonytongue)
Lineage: Eukaryota; Metazoa; Chordata; Actinopteri; Osteoglossiformes; Osteoglossidae
Description: lncRNA (ENSSFOG00015026991.1)
Source: RNAcentral